GUUGUGGCUCAGCGGUAGAGCUCUCGCCUAUCACAUGCAAGACACUGGGUUCAAUCCUCAGCAUUACA
Molecule: transfer RNA, 68 nt
Filed under: Marmota monax (woodchuck)
Lineage: Eukaryota; Metazoa; Chordata; Mammalia; Rodentia; Sciuridae
Description: tRNA.Asp
Source: RNAcentral